This is a long non-coding RNA of Oreochromis niloticus (Nile tilapia), 643 nucleotides long. RefSeq lists it as uncharacterized. The record is from RefSeq and is a predicted model, not a curated record. NCBI's taxonomy places the organism in Eukaryota, Metazoa, Chordata, Actinopteri, Cichliformes, Cichlidae. The transcript has 2 exons.
CGGAUGUUGUUUUGCUUUGCUGUGUUCUAAUGUGAAGUGUUUAUUUAUUUUUGUAUCGCAUGUUUUGGUUAUAUCUGUCAAUUUGUCCUGGAGAGACUCCGCCCUUUUCCCAUUUACUAAUUUGACACACCUGAGAGGAGAGCAGCGGGCGGUCAUUUAGGGAGAGUGCUCAGAGACACGGGAGGGCUGGUGAAGGUUGGCGUGGAGCGGUGAACGAAGAUACGAUGCCAGCGAGCAGGGAAGUGGAGGGAGCGGUCCAGCUGCUGGAAUAACUGGAGGCCAGAUCACGCUACUGCGGGGACCUAGAGGCGGCGAGACGGCGCUCUACCUCCCGCGGCGAGACGGGCCGGUGCCGAUUGGCGUGUUGCAGGGAAGCGGCGGGCAGAGUUAAGAGCUCUGCCCACCCGGGCACGCCAGAGCGGAGAACACUGAUAGGACGGCGAGGACGCCGCCGGGUUUCCCUCUUCUGCACCGCUUGCCUGGAUUUUUAAUUUUUAGUGACUUUUAUAUCGUGGCGGACGCCACUGGACUUUUAAUGUUGUGUUUUAUUGAUUUUUAUUGUGUUGUUCCCUGGCCAGGGUUGUUUUAAUUCAUUUUACAUUUUUAACUGUUUAAAUAUAAUAAAUUAUAUUUUAGUCAUACA